This is a non-coding RNA of Drosophila virilis, 1238 nucleotides long. The record is from RefSeq and is a predicted model, not a curated record. NCBI's taxonomy places the organism in Eukaryota, Metazoa, Arthropoda, Insecta, Diptera, Drosophilidae.
CAUAUUUCUCAUAGGAAGCUUGGAUUCUACGAACUCUACGAACCACGUCUCAAAUGACUUUUCAUGAAGAUCCUUGGAUGUGAAUUUUCCACCAAAUAGAAAUGAAUGGAGCUUCUCCCGUCUUAGCAUUACAUAAGGCGGAAAAUGGGUGGAAAAGGUAAAACUGAAAUGCAUGCAUUGCGAAUAAACAACUGUAAAACCAUUUUAUUAGUGGCGAAUGUGCAACGUUUUGUGGUCAAGAGCAAGCCACUACACUAGUUCUAUUUAAAUUAUAGUUUUCUGACAAAUGUGACCUAGCUAUGCUCAUUUUGUAACAUGCGAAUCGGUUGAAGAAACCACAAGCGACUAUAAGACUACAAAUUCGUAGCUAGUAUCUCUAUUGUAAUAGAAUGAGGAGAGUAAAAGCACAUUCGUUUGCGUACUCCGACACGGAUUAUUUCAAUUCAAUUUAAUUUAUAAUAAACGCAGUCCAAUAACCUUAUAUAAUGAACAAUAAGGCGAUUAACAUGAACACAUGAAAAUGUACGAGUAUUGUUUGCAACAAAAUUAAAAUAAAAAAAAAAAAAAAUAAUGUAUUUGCUUAUUAUUUAUUUUGCAAAAUUAUUCAAAUGUAAGUUGUAUACAUAGGUACUCGGAUCUGCUUUGACAAACAUAUUGAAACAAUUAUAAUGUCAUAUAUAAGGGGUUCAAAUACUUUGGCUGUGUGCCGUUUGGCCGCGUAUGCUAUGAAUAUAUUUUUAGGCGUAUUUAAAAAUAAAUACAGUUGCAAUCAUUCCGUUUCGGAAGAACACGUUUCAACUCACGUGCUGUGGGGCAAUAAUCUAGCGGAUUUCAUAGCAAUGUGGGACUAAGAGAAAACAUUGCCAAAUUCUAUAAUUGUACACACUCAUCUAGCUAAUUAAAUUAGCAAUGAUUUCUUUUAAGAUACAAUACAUUUGAAACGGAAUAUUUAAUAAAAAUCGACUUUAGUUCAAACAAAAACUUGUAAAAAUAUUAAUGGCAAUGUACGUUUGUUCAAGGUUUUAAUUAAUUCAUUAUUAACUAUAAAUCAGUUAAGCAAUCAAAAGUGUGAUUCCUGAAGCUGAUGUCUCUCUUAAUGCGUUACACAUUUCAUGACAAAAUAAUAAUACUCUCUAGGGUAUAACAUAUAUAGAUCAUAGAUCCGACUAUGAAUUUGGAUGUGCCUCGUUCUCUAGUCUAGACAUACACCGCAGAAAAUACACUCAAAAUUCACAACC